CGUUCCCGGGCCUUGUACACACCGCCCGUCAAGCCAUGGAAGCUGGGGGUGCCUGAAGUCAGUGACCGCAAGGAGCUGCCUAGGGUAAAACUAGUAACUAGGGCU
RNAcentral lists this ribosomal RNA (105 nucleotides) under uncultured bacterium. Its description in RNAcentral is "partial 16S ribosomal RNA". It matches the Rfam family "Bacterial small subunit ribosomal RNA", at positions 1369 to 1482 of the family's 1533-position model. The record is from RNAcentral.